Non-coding RNA from Nerophis lumbriciformis (worm pipefish), 168 nucleotides. The record is from RefSeq and is a predicted model, not a curated record. NCBI's taxonomy places the organism in Eukaryota, Metazoa, Chordata, Actinopteri, Syngnathiformes, Syngnathidae.
UGGCACAUGAUACAAGCUGGGCAAGCCAGAGAGUGCCAGUUGUUGUACACUGGCCUCCAUCUCCAUGGCUGCACGGCUCUUUAAAGGUGCCAGAGCAACAAAAAGCCCUGAUAUUUAAGCUUCUCAGUAGGGAGUGGCGCUGUUGAGUUAUGGCUCAGAGGCACAGCA